This 635-nucleotide ribosomal RNA is filed under the name Penicillium toxicarium. RNAcentral describes it as "eukaryotic LSU rRNA". It matches the Rfam family "Eukaryotic large subunit ribosomal RNA", at positions 1 to 649 of the family's 3401-position model. Lineage: Eukaryota; Fungi; Ascomycota; Eurotiomycetes; Eurotiales; Aspergillaceae. The record is from RNAcentral.
GUUGACCUCGGAUCAGGUAGGGAUACCCGCUGAACUUAAGCAUAUCAAUAAGCGGAGGAAAAGAAACCAACAGGGAUUGCCCCAGUAACGGCGAGUGAAGCGGCAAGAGCUCAAAUUUGAAAGCUGGCCCCCUCGGGGUCCGCAUUGUAAUUUGCAGAGGAUGCUUCGGGAGUGGCCCCCAUCUAAGUGCUCUGGAACGGGCCGUCAUAGAGGGUGAGAAUCCCGUAUGGGAUGGGGUGUCCGCGACCAUGUGAAGCUCCUUCGACGAGUCGAGUUGUUUGGGAAUGCAGCUCUAAAUGGGUGGUAAAUUUCAUCUAAAGCUAAAUAUUGGCCGGAGACCGAUAGCGCACAAGUAGAGUGAUCGAAAGAUGAAAAGCACUUUGAAAAGAGAGUUAAAAAGCACGUGAAAUUGUUGAAAGGGAAGCGCUUGCGACCAGACUCGCCUACGGGGUUCAGCCGGUAUUCGUACCGGUGUACUUCCCCGUGGGCGGGCCAGCGUCGGUUUGGGCGGCCGGUCAAAGGCCCUCGGAAUGUAACGCCUCUCGGGGCGUCUUAUAGCCGAGGGUGCCAUGCGGCCAGCCCGGACCGAGGAACGCGCUUCGGCACGGACGCUGGAAUAAUGGUCGUAAGCGACC